ACGCUCGACACCUACGGGAGACAGCAGUAGGGAAUCUUCCACAAUGGACGCAAGUCUGAUGGAGCAACGCCGCGUGAGUGAAGAAGGUUUUCGGAUCGUAAAGCUCUGUUGUUGGUGAAGAAGGAUAGAGGUAGUAACUGGCCUUUAUUUGACGGUAAUCAACCAGAAAGUCACGGCUAACUACGUCGCCAGCAGCCGCGGUAAUCUGAGCGGCUGGCAAGGC
RNAcentral lists this ribosomal RNA (223 nucleotides) under uncultured bacterium. RNAcentral describes it as "partial 16S ribosomal RNA". It matches the Rfam family "Bacterial small subunit ribosomal RNA", at positions 328 to 539 of the family's 1533-position model. The record is from RNAcentral.